UACGGAGGAUUCAAGCGUUAUCCGGAUUUAUUGGGUUUAAAGGGUGCGUAGGCGGUUUAGCAAGUCAGAAGUGAAAGCCCGGGGCUCAACCCCGGGACUGCAUUGGAAACUGUCGCGCUCGAGUGUCGGAGAGGUAAGUGGAAUUCCUAGUGUAGCGGUGAAAUGCGUAGAUAUUAGGAGGAACACCAGUGGCGAAGGCGGCUUACUGGACGACAACUGACGCUGAGGCUCGAAAGCGUGGGGAGCAAACAGG
RNAcentral lists this ribosomal RNA (253 nucleotides) under uncultured Lachnospiraceae bacterium. RNAcentral's name for it is "partial 16S ribosomal RNA". It matches the Rfam family "Bacterial small subunit ribosomal RNA", at positions 524 to 776 of the family's 1533-position model. The record is from RNAcentral. Lineage: Bacteria; Bacillati; Bacillota; Clostridia; Lachnospirales; Lachnospiraceae.